GAGCACAUCCCAGCCUGUGUUGAAGGGAUGAACAACCUAACUGGCUUCCAUUUCGUCUUCCCCCCAUGGCCAUUUUCCUGCAGCCUACACCAGUGGUGAUGACCUGGGCGAUCUCAUGAGGUAGUGGGUCCCUCUAUUUUUGGGGCCCCUCCAUCUUGUCAGCUCUGUUUAAAGUUCCCCCUUGGAGCAGGAGUCCCAUAGACUGGAAAUGGAAACAUGUCCUGCUUUUCAGUAGAGGGACAAGUAAGGGUCCCCAUGAAAGGCUGGUAUGAGGUCACUUCGUAUCUUACAGUGUUGGUGUCAUAGAUGGAAACCUGCAGCCAGGAGUGGGUCUUAGGAGUCGGUAUUGUCAAAUCAAAUGAAAAAAUAUAGACUUUUAUGGUAUCUGGUCUGGUAGGUCAAGAGACUGCCUCAGCCCUGGUUUUACCCAGGGAGUUGGCAAUCUCCUGACACCUGUGAUGGGUGAAGGACACAUUCCACGUGUGAGGAAGAGAGCUGAUGUGGAGGGGCACUCAGGGUAGUGGCUCCCCUUUCACUUAUGAGUGACUUCAGUGAAGAUACUCAGAUGUGUAGGUGUAUUUACUUGGACCCCAGCUCACGGAAGGCCAGACACCAAGAUUUAGCAGAGGUGGAGGAGUGGGUCAGAUUCAACAGAUAAUCUAUUAAAGAUCAAUAAAACACAAAAACAGUGUCUGUGUGGUUCACGUGGUCCGCUGCUGCAUCAGAUACUGUUGAGAAGAGCAGGGGCUUCAGAUACCAAGCUUCGAGGCAGCCAGCAUUGGGGCAGGCGGUGAGAGAGCUUAUGGGUUGUGGGGUUAAGAUGGAAUCGUAAAGUGCCCAUCUCCCAUGGGCCGAUGGGGAUGGAGGGACGGUGUGGAGCAGUGGGGCCUAGAAAGCAGCUCGGGACAAACUGUUAGGCACCAGCUUCCCGAAAGCAUCAGACAGCGAGAGCUAUUCCCUCAGGCCAAAGGAUGGGUACCCCAGGGAAAGGGAGCAACGGGGAACACACUAAGAACUUUGUUACUAUGGGAACGUCCAGCUGUUGGCACUUCCUCAGUACAGCUUGGUAGAGAUUUCCCCUGACUUUGG
RNAcentral lists this long non-coding RNA (1089 nucleotides) under Rattus norvegicus (Norway rat). Its description in RNAcentral is "long non-coding RNA NONRATT026106". Lineage: Eukaryota; Metazoa; Chordata; Mammalia; Rodentia; Muridae. The record is from RNAcentral.